GCUACUGUGGUGUAGUUGGUUAGCACGUACCCUUCACAUGGGUUAGGUCCCGGGUUCGAGCCCCGGCAGAAGCA
RNAcentral lists this transfer RNA (74 nucleotides) under Spironucleus salmonicida. Its description in RNAcentral is "tRNA-Val". It matches the Rfam family "tRNA". Rfam says of the family: Transfer RNA (tRNA) molecules are approximately 80 nucleotides in length. Their secondary structure includes four short double-helical elements and three loops (D, anti-codon, and T loops). Further hydrogen bonds mediate the characteristic L-shaped molecular structure. tRNAs have two regions of fundamental functional importance: the anti-codon, which is responsible for specific mRNA codon recognition, and the 3' end, to which the tRNAs corresponding amino acid is attached (by aminoacyl-tRNA synthetases). tRNAs cope with the degeneracy of the genetic code in two manners: having more than one tRNA (with a specific anti-codon) for a particular amino acid; and 'wobble' base-pairing, i.e. permitting non-standard base-pairing at the 3rd anti-codon position. The record is from Rfam by way of RNAcentral. Lineage: Eukaryota; Fornicata; Diplomonadida; Hexamitidae.